GCAAAUGAAGGAGUAGCCCUGUGUGUGGAGACCGGAGCUCUACAUCAGGCGUGUUAAUGCCUGCCAUUCAUUUCUGAGGCAGGAUUCUCAAAGAACCUCAAAGGCCACAGGGCUAACUAAGCUGUCUCUGUCCUUGGCACCACAACCUUUACAUGGGGGCUGAGGAAGUGGGGGACUGAGAGUUCUUCCUCGGUGGUAAGAGUGACCCCGAAUGAGAAUAUGCGAAGGAGGACAGCUGUGUUCCCAGAAGUCUCAAAGCUUUUCAACUGGUGGGUAAAAUCAGGGUCUAAGCUAGCCAGAUGGCUGGGAACCAACAAGCAGCCCCUUCUCCAACAGUAUUGCAGUGUGUGUAUCUCAGGUAACCCAUACACAGUAGCUGAAUGCUGCAUCCAGAACCACCAUCCUUCAUCUCCCUGUCUACAUACUGCAGUAUUGUCAUCACGAGAAGAGUAUGGUAUAGUAAGACAUUUUGAGAGAAAGGAGGGGAUUGCAUUCAUGUACUUUUAUUACAGUAUGUUCACAUAAUUAUUCUGUCUCAUUAAAUGCUACUAAUUUAUUACUGGGCUUAAGUUACAAGUUAAAUUUCAUGGAUGAUGAUGGUGUGUAUGGUACAGGAGUGGGCACACACGUGUUAUGGCACACAUGUAGAGAGCAGAGGACAACUUGUCUUUCCAAGUAUCUGUGUGCAUGUAAAACUGUCUGGAGGUGUGCAACCUAUAGUCUCAGGUUUCUACUGGAAGUCCUGAGACAUUACCCAGAGCACCACUGUCUGGGACAGUUUCAGAUGACAGGACUACAGAAAUGGAGAUUCUGAAGGAAAGGGAGGGUAAGAGAGUGGGGGCUAUGACUUUAAAUAGGAAACAGAAGAGAUCCAAAUGUACGGAUGGAACUGUGUGUAGGGUACCCUCACAUGAAUCUGCACAUGAUAACAUACACACUAGCUAGUGUCAAAGACAGGUGAAAUGUGAGCCAUCAUUGUAAAACCCUCGUGCUCAAGCCACACGUGAUGUCCCCACUGUGGGAAACGAGUACAUGUGACUUACUGUUGGUGACCAAUGAAAACAAGUCUGAGUAUCUUAAACAGUGACUUCAAAUUACACACACAUUCCUAGACUGUAUGGAAAUGCAGACUCCAAGUACAAGAUGCAUACAAGAGAAGAAACAUUUAAGUCUCAAGACACAAAUACACCAAACAGAAAUAAGAUCUAACCAGACUAACAAUACUAAAAAAAGUAAAACGCAUGGAAACAGAUUAUUAACACAAAAGGAGAUGGUGCAGAGAGGACACCAGCAGGGUACGGUGGCAACAUUAUGAACCCAAGACCCAGGAGUGUGGGCAGAAGGAUUACGAAUUUGAGAACAGCCUUGGCUUCACUGCAAGUUUAAAACCAGCCUGCACUACAUAGCAAGACCUGAUCUUAAUAAAAAAACAAGGGCCAUUGGCUAGCGGCAGGACACUUGCCUAGCACGUGUUCAGUCCCCACAAGAAAAAAAAAGCAACAACAAAAUAACAACCAACCAAAUAAACAAAAAGCCUGGAUAUCAAAUGCAAAAGAAUGAAGCUGGUCCUUUACCUUCUGCUACUGACAACCAUUAACUAAGUGGAGUAGGGGUCUGAAUAUAAGCCCUGUCAUGGUAGACUACUAGGGAUGGGGCAUGCUGGGAUCCUAGAACUUGGAAGAGCAGGGGAGCAGUGCAGAGAAGGAAAAAUGCUGUGGAAUGUUAUUUUAACUGGGCAAAGAUGCAUCUGUUUAUGCUGUGGAAUGUUGCUUUAACUGUGUGAAGGUAUGUUACACUUGUUUAUGCUGUGGAAUAU
Myodes glareolus (Bank vole) is the source of this 1816-nucleotide non-coding RNA. The record is from RefSeq and is a predicted model, not a curated record. Lineage: Eukaryota; Metazoa; Chordata; Mammalia; Rodentia; Cricetidae.